AUUGAAUGCUGGCGGCAGGCCUAACACAUGCAAGUCGAGCGGUAGAGAGAAGCUUGCUUCUCUUGAGAGCGGCGGACGGGUGAGUAAUGCCUAGGAAUCUGCCUGGUAGUGGGGGAUAACGUUCGGAAACGGACGCUAAUACCGCAUACGUCCUACGGGAGAAAGCAGGGGACCUUCGGGCCUUGCGCUAUCAGAUGAGCCUAGGUCGGAUUAGCUAGUUGGUGAGGUAAUGGCUCACCAAGGCGACGAUCCGUAACUGGUCUGAGAGGAUGAUCAGUCACACUGGAACUGAGACACGGUCCAGACUCCUACGGGAGGCAGCAGUGGGGAAUAUUGGACAAUGGGCGAAAGCCUGAUCCAGCCAUGCCGCGUGUGUGAAGAAGGUCUUCGGAUUGUAAACCUCUUUUAGCAGGGAAGAAGCGAAAGUGACGGUACCUGCAGAAAAAGCGCCGGCUAACUACGUGC
Molecule: ribosomal RNA, 465 nt
Filed under: uncultured bacterium
Lineage: Bacteria
Description: bacterial SSU rRNA
Rfam family: Bacterial small subunit ribosomal RNA
Source: RNAcentral